Molecule: transfer RNA, 67 nt
Filed under: Phrynocephalus mystaceus (secret toadhead agama)
Lineage: Eukaryota; Metazoa; Chordata; Lepidosauria; Squamata; Agamidae
Description: tRNA-Pro
Source: RNAcentral
CAUAUGAUGUUUGGUGUGUUUUGUUCUAGAAGUUUUCUGGUUAACGAACGAACGUUUGUUUGUUUGA